CAGCAGCCGCGGUAAUACGUAGGGUGCAAGCGUUAAUCGGAAUUACUGGGCGUAAAGCGUGCGCAGGCGGUUUUGUAAGACAGAGGUGAAAUCCCCGGGCUCAACCUGGGAACUGCCUUUGUGACUGCAAGGCUAGAGUACGGCAGAGGGGGAUGGAAUUCCGCGUGUAGCAGUGAAAUGCGUAGAUAUGCGGAGGAACACCGAUGGCGAAGGCAAUCCCCUGGGCCUGUACUGACGCUCAUGCACGAAAGCGUGGGGAGCAAACAGGAUUAGAUACCCGCGUAGUCCCUGUCUCUUAUAC
RNAcentral lists this ribosomal RNA (301 nucleotides) under uncultured bacterium. RNAcentral describes it as "partial 16S ribosomal RNA". It matches the Rfam family "Bacterial small subunit ribosomal RNA", at positions 509 to 807 of the family's 1533-position model. The record is from RNAcentral.